Molecule: ribosomal RNA, 445 nt
Filed under: uncultured bacterium
Lineage: Bacteria
Description: partial 16S ribosomal RNA
Rfam family: Bacterial small subunit ribosomal RNA
Source: RNAcentral
GUGAGGAAUAUUGGACAAUGGGCGCAAGCCUGAUCCAGCCAUGCCGCGUGCAGGAAGACGCAUCUAUGGUGUGUAAACUGCUUUUGUACGGGAAGAAACACUCCCUCGUGAGGGAGCUUGACGGUACCGUAAGAAUAAGGAUCGGCUAACUCCGUGCCAGCAGCCGCGGUAAUACGGAGGAUCCAAGCGUUAUCCGGAAUCAUUGGGUUUAAAGGGUCCGUAGGCGGUUUAAUAAGUCAGUGGUGAAAGCCCAUCGCUCAAUGAUGGAACGGCCAUUGAUACUGUUAGACUUGAAUUACAAGGAAGUAACUAGAAUAUGUAGUGUAGCGGUGAAAUGCUUAGAUAUUACAUGGAAUACCAAUUGCGAAGGCAGGUUACUACUUGUGGAUUGACGCUGAUGGACGAAAGCGUGGGGAGCGAACAGGAUUAGAAACCCUGGUAGUCC